This 663-nucleotide ribosomal RNA is filed under the name Klebsiella planticola. RNAcentral describes it as "Raoultella planticola partial 16S rRNA". The record is from RNAcentral. Lineage: Bacteria; Pseudomonadati; Pseudomonadota; Gammaproteobacteria; Enterobacterales; Enterobacteriaceae.
GUCAGUCUUUGUCCAGGGGGCCGCCUUCGCCACCGGUAUUCCUCCAGAUCUCUACGCAUUUCACCGCUACACCUGGAAUUCUACCCCCCUCUACAAGACUCAAGCUUGCCAGUUUCAAAUGCAGUUCCCAGGUUGAGCCCGGGGAUUUCACAUCUGACUUAACAAACCGCCUGCGUGCGCUUUACGCCCAGUAAUUCCGAUUAACGCUUGCACCCUCCGUAUUACCGCGGCUGCUGGCACGGAGUUAGCCGGUGCUUCUUCUGCGAGUAACGUCAAUCGCUAAGGUUAUUAACCUUAACGCCUUCCUCCUCGCUGAAAGUACUUUACAACCCGAAGGCCUUCUUCAUACACGCGGCAUGGCUGCAUCAGGCUUGCGCCCAUUGUGCAAUAUUCCCCACUGCUGCCUCCCGUAGGAGUCUGGACCGUGUCUCAGUUCCAGUGUGGCUGGUCAUCCUCUCAGACCAGCUAGGGAUCGUCGCCUAGGUGAGCCAUUACCCCACCUACUAGCUAAUCCCAUCUGGGCACAUCUGAUGGCAUGAGGCCCGAAGGUCCCCCACUUUGGUCUUGCGACGUUAUGCGGUAUUAGCUACCGUUUCCAGUAGUUAUCCCCCUCCAUCAGGCAGUUUCCCAGACAUUACUCACCCGUCCGCCGCUCGUCACCCG